This is a microRNA precursor of Gallus gallus (chicken), 59 nucleotides long. The record is from Ensembl. Lineage: Eukaryota; Metazoa; Chordata; Aves; Galliformes; Phasianidae.
CUGACCCCAACCUCGCUACCACCUCCUUUGAGGGAGUUGUAGAGAGUGGUGGGGUCUCU